CCUACGGGGUGCUGCAGUGGGGAAUAUUGGACAAUGGGCGAAAGCCUGAUCCAGCCAUGCCGCGUGUGUGAAGAAGGCCUUCGGGUUGUAAAGCACUUUCAGUGGGGAAGAAAGCCUUGGGGCUAAUACCCUCGAGGAAGGACAUCACCCACAGAAGAAGCACCGGCUAACUCCGUGCCAGCAGCCGCGGUAAUACGGAGGGUGCGAGCGUUAAUCGGAAUUACUGGGCGUAAAGCGCGCGUAGGCGGUCUGAUAAGCCGGUUGUGAAAGCCCCGGGCUCAACCUGGGAACGGCAUCCGGAACUGGCAGGCUAGGGGGGAGGGGAGGGAGGGAAGAUGCCCGGGGGAGGGGUGAAAUGGGGUGGGGUCGGGAGGGAAACCAGGGGGGAAGGGGGCCUUCUGGAAUGACACCGGCGCCGGGGGGGGAAAGCCUUGGUAGCCAACCAGAAUAGAUACCCGGGUUAUC
Molecule: ribosomal RNA, 465 nt
Filed under: Vreelandella stevensii
Lineage: Bacteria; Pseudomonadati; Pseudomonadota; Gammaproteobacteria; Oceanospirillales; Halomonadaceae
Description: partial 16S ribosomal RNA
Rfam family: Bacterial small subunit ribosomal RNA
Source: RNAcentral